This 506-nucleotide ribosomal RNA is filed under the name uncultured bacterium. RNAcentral describes it as "partial 16S ribosomal RNA". It matches the Rfam family "Bacterial small subunit ribosomal RNA", at positions 28 to 523 of the family's 1533-position model. The record is from RNAcentral.
GAUGAACGCUAGCUACAGGCUUAACACAUGCAAGUCGAGGGGUAACAAGAGGAAAGCUUGCUUUUCUUGUUGACGACCGGCGCACGGGUGAGUAACGCGUAUCCAACCUGCCUAUAACUAGGGAAUAACCUUGCGAAAGUAAGACUAAUGCCCUAUGACUUCCUUUGAUGACAUCAGAUUAGGAAUAAAGAUUUAUCGGUUAUAGAUGGGGAUGCGUCUGAUUAGCUUGUUGGCGGGGUAGCGGCCCACCAAGGCAACGAUCAGUAGGGGUUCUGAGAGGAAGGUCCCCCACAUUGGAACUGAGACACGGUCCAAACUCCUACGGGAGGCAGCAGUGAGGAAUAUUGGUCAAUGGGCGGAAGCCUGAACCAGCCAAGUAGCGUGCAGGAUGACGGCCCUAUGGGUUGUAAACUGCUUUUAUACAGGGAUAAAGUUAGCCACGUGUGGUUAUUUGCAGGUACUGUAUGAAUAAGGACCGGCUAAUUCCGUGCCAGCCGCCGCCGUAA